Cinara cedri is the source of this 302-nucleotide non-coding RNA. The record is from the annotation of a GenBank genome assembly. NCBI's taxonomy places the organism in Eukaryota, Metazoa, Arthropoda, Insecta, Hemiptera, Aphididae.
GGACGAUACUAAUAUAGACCAUUCUUGAUGUCCGAGUCGCACCAUCCGGGUACCAUAUAGGAACCUUUCUGAAAUAUUUCCUAUUUAUAUUUUCAAAAAAUCUUAAUCCAGAACACGCUGAUGGAAAUCAAACCAUAAACCCUCACUGAACCUGACCUAAAACAACUAACUUCUAACAAAUAACAAAUAACAGUUUAUAUUGGUCAAGUAUCAAUUGGGAAUAAAACAAAUAACACUCGGGAAAUUUAAAAUUCUUCCUGAUAGGUAUUAUCUGAGUACUGAACCAGAAGUUCCUGAGACAG